GACGAACGCUGGCGGCGUGCUUAACACAUGCAAGUCGAACGUAAAGGCCCUGCUUUUGUGGGGUGCUCGAGUGGCGAACGGGUGAGUAACACGUUAGUAACCUGCCCUUGACUUUGGGAUAACUUCAGGAAACUGGGGCUAAUACCUGAUAGGAGCUCCUGCUGCAUGGUGGGGGUUGGAAAGUUUCGGCGGUUUGGGAUGGACUCGCGGCUUAUCAGCUUGUUGGUGGGGUAGUGGCUUACCAAGGCUUUGACGGGUAGCCGGCCUGAGAGGGUGACCGGCCACAUUGGGACUGAGAUACGGCCCAGACUCCUACGGGAGGCAGCAGUGGGGAAUAUUGCAAAAGGGGCGGAAGCCUGAUGCAGCAACGCCGCGUGCGGGAUGACGGCCUUCGGGUUGUAAACCGCUUUCGCCUGUGACGAAGCGUGAGUGACGGUAAUGGGUAAAGAAGCACCGGCUAACUACGUG
RNAcentral lists this ribosomal RNA (468 nucleotides) under uncultured bacterium. RNAcentral's name for it is "partial 16S ribosomal RNA". It matches the Rfam family "Bacterial small subunit ribosomal RNA", at positions 28 to 507 of the family's 1533-position model. The record is from RNAcentral.